AUUUCAGGAAAGUGAAGAACGAGGAUUUUCCUGUAGAUGCCCGGAAGUUUUUUUCUCAAAAAGUGGAUCUAUUUAUGUUUCUUUAUCAUUUUGUUUGUUUGAAUGAUUUGGUUUGAUGAAAACUAACACAAGACUCUUAUAUUUUUGAGAUCUCUGAGAUGGUUUUGAGGCCUUUGGCGAAUCAUAGCUUGAGAGAAGAGGACGUGGAUGAGGUGGGCUCCUAAGAGAGGGAGCAGGGCCUCAGCAGCUCUGACAGACCGCUGGACAGGGUGUCUCCACGGCCUCUCAGGCCGGCUCACAAGACGUAACGAGAAAGUAAGAAAGAAAACAUGGCUUGGAGAUAGAAUAUGUCUGUCCAGCUGCCAAUCUGUCCGUCUGUCUCUCUAGCCUGGGGGUAUGUGAGGCUCCUGUAUCUCGGCCCCCAUCAGCCCCUGUGUUUACCAACAAUACACUCCUACUGAUGUGGCGUGUGACCAUAAACAGCAGCCACACUUACUCUUCUCGUUCGAAUUUAUGUAUGAAUUGAUCGGUUGAUAGCAGCUAUAGUAUCAAUAAAGGCUGAUAAG
Long non-coding RNA from Osmerus eperlanus (European smelt), 566 nucleotides. RefSeq lists it as uncharacterized. The transcript has 3 exons. Lineage: Eukaryota; Metazoa; Chordata; Actinopteri; Osmeriformes; Osmeridae. The record is from RefSeq and is a predicted model, not a curated record.